This 111-nucleotide non-coding RNA is filed under the name bovine gut metagenome. RNAcentral's name for it is "TPP riboswitch (THI element)". It matches the Rfam family "TPP riboswitch aptamer (THI element)", at positions 9 to 98 of the family's 105-position model. From Rfam's summary of the family: Vitamin B(1) in its active form thiamin pyrophosphate (TPP) is an essential coenzyme that is synthesised by coupling of pyrimidine and thiazole moieties in bacteria. The previously detected thiamin-regulatory element, thi box was extended, resulting in a new, highly conserved RNA secondary structure, the THI element, which is widely distributed in eubacteria and also occurs in some archaea. The record is from RNAcentral.
AUAGGGGUGCACAUAAGUGACUGAGUGACUGUGUUGUUAAGAGACUAAGUGUGCUGAGAAAAUACCCUUCAAACUUGAUCCGGAUAAUGCCGGCGUAAGGAAUUGAAUUAU